Molecule: non-coding RNA, 88 nt
Organism: Coniochaeta sp. 2T2.1
Lineage: Eukaryota; Fungi; Ascomycota; Sordariomycetes; Coniochaetales; Coniochaetaceae
Source: the annotation of a GenBank genome assembly
GGUUCCGUGGUCCAGUGGUCAAGACUCAUCGUUGUGGUUCCUCUUCAACACCUCCGAUGCAACCCGUGUUCGAUUCACGGCGGAGCCA